This is a long non-coding RNA of Gossypium arboreum, 254 nucleotides long. RefSeq lists it as uncharacterized. The transcript is spliced from 2 exons. Lineage: Eukaryota; Viridiplantae; Streptophyta; Magnoliopsida; Malvales; Malvaceae. The record is from RefSeq and is a predicted model, not a curated record.
GAAAAGGGAAAAUUGAAGGUUUGAAGCUUUAAGCUUUAAUAGGUUAAGUAAAGAUAGUACGUUGAAUCAGCAUCCCAAGACGAUCCCGAAUUCAUUAAGGUAAAGUAUGUUGAGUAUUGAUAAUGGCAUGUACCUAGGACGUUUUAUGAGAGUCAUUUAGGUUAUAGAAGUAUUGAUGAAAUGAGUAAAUUAUGGUUGGCAACGGUAUGUAGUAUGAAUUUUGAAAUUUACUAAGAAUUCGUAGUGAUUCUAAA